GCUACCUACGGGGCGCAGCAGUGGGGAAUAUUGCACAAUGGGGGAAACCCUGAUGCAGCAACGCCGCGUGAAGGAAGACGGUUUUCGGAUUGUAAACUUCUGUUCUUAGUGAAGAAGAAUGACGGUAGCUAAGGAGCAAGCCACGGCUAACUACGUGCCAGCAGCCGCGGUAAUACGUAGGUGGCAAGCGUUGUCCGGAUUUACUGGGUGUAAAGGGUGCGUAGGCGGCUUGGCAAGUCAGUAGUGAAAUCCAUGGGCUUAACCCAUGAACUGCUUUUGAAACUGUCGAGCUUGAGUGAAGUAGG
This 305-nucleotide ribosomal RNA is filed under the name uncultured bacterium. RNAcentral's name for it is "bacterial SSU rRNA". It matches the Rfam family "Bacterial small subunit ribosomal RNA", at positions 334 to 655 of the family's 1533-position model. The record is from RNAcentral.